This 119-nucleotide ribosomal RNA is filed under the name Pteropus alecto (black flying fox). Lineage: Eukaryota; Metazoa; Chordata; Mammalia; Chiroptera; Pteropodidae. The record is from RNAcentral.
GUCUAUGGCCAUGCUACCCUGAACAAGCCCGAUCCCAUCUGAUUUCGGAAGUUAAGCAGGGCCGGGCCUGGUUAGUACUUGGAUGGGAGACCACCUAGGAAGACUAGGUUCUGUAGGCA